GAAGCCUAACGGAGGAUUAACCUUCAAUUUCGAUGGAUUGCCGGUUCGAAACUUUCUCUACAUCUUCCAUGGAAAAAUAGGUUUUCUUCUUGUUUGGGUUUUGUGAAUUUCUCUGGAUUUGUGAAAUUGUUCUUGUGAGUAGUGAUAAGAUUGUGGAUUCAUGUUGUUUAAUGAUGUGUCUUGUUAUCUUGUUAUCUCGAUUGCCCGUUUGAGCGGAUAAUUGUGGGUGUUGCAAGUGGUUUUAGGAUGUUGAG
This 254-nucleotide long non-coding RNA is filed under the name Linum usitatissimum (flax). RNAcentral describes it as "long non-coding RNA (LUSI_LNC007356)". Lineage: Eukaryota; Viridiplantae; Streptophyta; Magnoliopsida; Malpighiales; Linaceae. The record is from RNAcentral.